AUCAGGCAUAAAUAUUCUGACGGUUAAUUGUAGACAUCUACUUGACUGGAUUAAGAGACACACAUAGCUGGUCAAACAAGAUUUCAGCCAUGAAUCAGGCAUAAAUAUUCUGAUGGUUAAUUGUAGACAUCUACUUGAUUGGAUUGAGAGACACACAUAGCUGGUCAAACACGAUUUCAGCCAUGAAUCAGGCAUAAAUAUUCUGAUGGUUAAUUGUAGACAUCUACUUGACUGGAUUGAGAGACACACAUAGCUGGUCAAACACGAUUUCAGCCAUGAAUCAGGCAUAAAUAUUCUGAUGGUUAAUUUUAGACAUCUACUUGACUGGAUUAAGGGACACACACAGCUGGUCAAACACAAUUUCAGCCAUGAAUCAGGCAUAAAUAUUCUGACAGUUAAUUUUAGACAUCUACUUGACUGGAUUAAGAGACACACAUAGCUGGUCAAACACGAUUUCAGCCGUGAAGCAGGCAUAAAUAUUCUGAUGGUUAAUUGUAGACAUCUACUUGACUGGAUUGAGAGACACACAUAGCUGGUCAAACACGAUUUCAGCCAUGAAUCAGGCGUAAAUAUUCUGAUGGUUAAUUGUAGACAUCUACUUGAGUGGAUUGAGAGACACACAUAGCUGGUC
RNAcentral lists this long non-coding RNA (631 nucleotides) under Homo sapiens (human). RNAcentral describes it as "HSALNT0331544". The record is from RNAcentral. Lineage: Eukaryota; Metazoa; Chordata; Mammalia; Primates; Hominidae.